GACGAAGGGGGCUAGCGUUGUUCGGAAUUACUGGGCGUAAAGCGAGUGUAGGUGGUUGUCCAAGUUGGAUGUGAAAGCCUUGAGCUCAACUCAAGAAAUGCAUUCAGGACUGGGCGGCUAGAGGACCGGAGAGGAUAGUGGAAUUCCCAGUGUAGUGGUGAAAUACGUAGAGAUUGGGAAGAACACCAGUGGCGAAGGCGGCUAUCUGGCUCGAUACUGACGCUGAGGUGCGAAAGCUAGGGUAGCAAACGGG
RNAcentral lists this ribosomal RNA (253 nucleotides) under uncultured bacterium. RNAcentral describes it as "partial 16S ribosomal RNA". It matches the Rfam family "Bacterial small subunit ribosomal RNA", at positions 524 to 776 of the family's 1533-position model. The record is from RNAcentral.